This 449-nucleotide ribosomal RNA is filed under the name uncultured bacterium. RNAcentral's name for it is "partial 16S ribosomal RNA". It matches the Rfam family "Bacterial small subunit ribosomal RNA", at positions 29 to 523 of the family's 1533-position model. The record is from RNAcentral.
AACGAACGCUGGCGGCAUGCCUAACACAUGCAAGUCGAACGAGAUCUUCGGGUCUAGUGGCGCACGGGUGCGUAACGCGUGGGAAUCUGCCCUUUGGUUCGGAAUAACAGUUGGAAACGACUGCUAAUACCGGAUGAUGACGAAAGUCCAAAGAUUUAUCGCCAGAGGAUGAGCCCGCGUAGGAUUAGCUAGUUGGUGCGGUAAAGGCGCACCAAGGCGACGAUCCUUAGCUGGUCUGAGAGGAUGAUCAGCCACACUGGGACUGAGACGCGGCCCAGACUCCUACGGGAGGCAGCAGUGGGGAAUAUUGGACAAUAGGCGAAAGCCUGAUCCAGCAAUGCCGCGUGAGUGAUGAAGGCCUUAGGGUUGUAAAGCUCUUUUACCCGGGAUGAUAAUGACAGUACCGGGAGAAUAAGCUCCGGCUAACUCCGUGCCAGCCGCCGCCGUAA